This 253-nucleotide ribosomal RNA is filed under the name uncultured bacterium. Its description in RNAcentral is "partial 16S ribosomal RNA". It matches the Rfam family "Bacterial small subunit ribosomal RNA", at positions 524 to 776 of the family's 1533-position model. The record is from RNAcentral.
UACGGAGGGUGCAAGCGUUAUCCGGAUUCACUGGGUUUAAAGGGUGCGUAGGAGGACUGGUAAGUCAGUGGUGAAAUCCCCGAGCUUAACUUGGGAACUGCCGUUGAUACUAUCAGUCUUGAAUACCGUGGAGGUGAGCGGAAUAUGUCAUGUAGCGGUGAAAUGCUUAGAUAUGACAUAGAACACCAAUUGCGAAGGCAGCUCGCUACACGAAUAUUGACUCUGAUGCACGAAAGCGUGGGGAUCAAACAGG